Aedes aegypti (yellow fever mosquito) is the source of this 85-nucleotide non-coding RNA. Lineage: Eukaryota; Metazoa; Arthropoda; Insecta; Diptera; Culicidae. The record is from Rfam.
GCUGGUGUGGUGGAGUGGUUAUGGUGCAUGGGCGUUUUGAACACGUUUUUGCUCAUGGUCAUGGGUUCGAAUCCCGUCGGCGGCA